GGACGAUUAGCUCAGUUGGUUAGAGCGCCUCGUUUACACCGAGGAGGCCGCUGGUUCGAGUCCAGCAUCGUCCACCA
Molecule: transfer RNA, 77 nt
Filed under: Candidatus Moraniibacteriota bacterium
Lineage: Bacteria; Candidatus Moraniibacteriota
Description: tRNA-Val
Rfam family: tRNA
About the family: Transfer RNA (tRNA) molecules are approximately 80 nucleotides in length. Their secondary structure includes four short double-helical elements and three loops (D, anti-codon, and T loops).
Source: RNAcentral